UAUCUCUGUAGAGUCUGCAUAUCAAUAAGCGGAGGAAAAGAAACUAACAAGGAUUCCCUUAGUAACGGCGAGUGAAGCGGGAAGAGCUCAAAUUUGAAAUCUUCAAGGUUCUACCUUGACGAAUUGUAGUUUAAAGAAGUGUUUUCUGUUAGAUGAGUAGCAAAAGUUCCUUGGAAUGGGACAUCAUAGAGGGUGAGAAUCCCGUAUUUGGUUAUUCAUUCUAGCUUUGUGAUACACUUUCAAAGAGUCGGAUUGUUUGGGAAUGCAGUCCAAAAUGGGUGGUAAAUUUCAUCUAAAGCUAAAUAUUGGCGAGAGACCGAUAGCGAACAAGUACCGUGAGGGAAAGAUGAAAAGAACUUUGAAAAGAGAGUUAAACAGUACGUGAAAUUGUCAAAAGGGAAGCGUUUGACACCAGUGUUGUUUUUCCGAAAAUCAAUUACGAAUGGCUUGAUUUUGUGUUGUAUUGACCUUAUCAAGCUUUCUUCACUUUUUUCGAGUCUUUCUUAAUGCACUUUUCGGUUAACAAGUCAACAUCAAUUUCUUUUGUUGUAAAAGAGUAUUCGGAAGGUGGCUUUCUUUUCGGAGAAAGUGUUUAUAGCCCUAUACUUCUACAAUCGGAGAGAUUGAGGUCUGCAGCGUAGAUCCUUCGGGGUUAGAUACACUUGUGCUAAGUUGUAGCUUUUCAUAGACAACUUGUUGACUAUGUUUAGUCAUGCGGCUUACUCGCUUGUGCUAUUUUACCUACGCUUAGGAUGUUGACUGAUAUGUAGUCGUA
Molecule: ribosomal RNA, 775 nt
Filed under: uncultured Neocallimastigales
Lineage: Eukaryota; Fungi; Neocallimastigomycota; Neocallimastigomycetes; Neocallimastigales
Description: partial large subunit ribosomal RNA
Rfam family: Eukaryotic large subunit ribosomal RNA
Source: RNAcentral